This is a long non-coding RNA of Vitis riparia (riverbank grape), 289 nucleotides long. RefSeq lists it as uncharacterized. NCBI's taxonomy places the organism in Eukaryota, Viridiplantae, Streptophyta, Magnoliopsida, Vitales, Vitaceae. The record is from RefSeq and is a predicted model, not a curated record. The transcript is spliced from 3 exons.
UCCUCUUGAUUCUUUCAUUUUCUGUUCCCAUAUAUUUGUGUUAACUAGGUCAUGUUUCAGGAUGAAUCUAUGUUGAUACGGUACUCUGGCAAAAAAGUGAAACAACUUAAACUAAGCAAUGUUUCAAGAAUUAUUCUUGGACAGUGUACUUUCAUCCAAAUCUCUCUCUCCAUUCAUAUCUACUCUUGAGUUAAGGCCUCAACCUUUCAAUAUAUGCCACCGAUUUUGAGGAUGAUUUCUUCUUAAAAGUUGCAGCUAGAAAAAGAGGAUGAAAAAGAAAAACUCAAGA